Molecule: long non-coding RNA, 933 nt
Filed under: Bos indicus x Bos taurus (hybrid cattle)
Lineage: Eukaryota; Metazoa; Chordata; Mammalia; Artiodactyla; Bovidae
Description: lncRNA (ENSBIXG00000029446.1)
Source: RNAcentral
CUUCCUUAUGUUAUCAAUCAUAGUUAUCUUUUAUGUAACAAAAACUGAGUAGCAAAAUACUUACGUGUGCUCAUUCACUUCAGUUGUGUCUGGCUCUUUGUGACCCUAUGGACUAUAGCCCAACAGGCUCCUCUGUCCAUGGGAUUCUCCAGGCAAGAAUACUGGAGUGGGUUGCCAUUCACUUCUCCAUGGGAUAGUCUCGACCCAGGGAUCUAACCCAGGUCUCUUGCACUGCAGGCAGAAUCUUUGCCCACUGAGCCACCUGGGAAGCCCUGCAAAAUACUUUUAUACAAGUCUGCUAAGAAGUUGGAACACAGAUCCAGACAACGUCUCCUAGAGACAGCCCAGGAGAGUGAAAAGAGCAGAGGCUGUGUGUUUUCUCACAACUCCACCAGCUCGGUGAACUUGGGCAAGUCACUUGACCUCUGUGGGACUCAAUAACACGGUCUAUAAAACAUGACAACAUUGUCAACCCAGAAAGCAAUCAAUAAAGAUAAAGCUCUGGUUGCCCCAAAAAGGAGGUUGGACUAAAUUGAAUCUUCUGAUUCCAAUUUUAUGAACUGCAAUAAAAUCUCUCUAGGGUGCAGGAUUACAUCUGUGUUGAAGAAUGACUACAUUAAGACAAUUAUCAGACGCUCUUUAUGCUUCCAAAUUGGAGGCACUUUAUCUAUGCUGACACUAGGGUGGAGCUUAGAAAGAAAACCAGCAGGAAAGUCAAGUGCACUUGAUGAAAAACCGCCCACAGCUCCGAGUUUCACAGGUCGGUGGAGCCCCCGCAGUUCUGCCGGACCAACAAGCUCUCCGCCGACGUUGUAGGCACACAAGUUCACAACACGUUAAGAAAUGAGACUUUCUCAUUAUGAGGCAGUCUACUCAACUGAGUUAUCAGAGGAUUGAAAUAAAAGGAUUUCAGUCAUCCUUUCUUGAAAAAUC